Harmonia axyridis is the source of this 1458-nucleotide long non-coding RNA. RefSeq lists it as uncharacterized. The record is from RefSeq and is a predicted model, not a curated record. The transcript is spliced from 3 exons. NCBI's taxonomy places the organism in Eukaryota, Metazoa, Arthropoda, Insecta, Coleoptera, Coccinellidae.
CUCGAACCACAGAUUACGGAUAUCCGUAAUCUGUGAGUGGAACGCUCCAAAACCAAACUGUCAAAUUAAACGCAGUGAUAGUUAUCUCUGUCAUACGUAAACAAACCGAGUUUGGCAUUCAACAGCUGCACAGAUUACGGAUAACAUAGAUAGAACACUCGCCUUCCCCCACCCGAAAUUAAGUUUUAGUUCUUGUCCCGGUUCCUUGGAACCGCUGCAAGUCAUUUGUUUACGUUUGGUUUGCUCUUGCCAUAGAUAUUAGGUCUAUGGCUCUUGCAAUAUUAUUUUAACCUAGAAGCUGAAAAUGGACGUUUGUCAUUGAAGUUGUUCAACUAAGUACAAUUCUCGUACGCCGUAGAAAUUCAUUUGAAGAAAAAAAUAUACUUCCAAAUUUCGAGAAUGCCUAGACUAAAGAAAUGUUGUGUACAAGGAUGUACCGAUGAGACAAGUAAAAGAAAUCAUUUCCCUAAGAGUAAUUUGGAUUAAUUCAAUAACUGGCUCCAAAUGAUCCAACCAAGAAAUUGGCAACAAUUCAGAAGCCAUCGUGGUCUUACUUGCAAUGCCAUACCUACAAUCAGUAUUCCAGGUAAUUUUAUCGAAUUACUCAAUUUUAUUCAUAUUUAAACCCCUUAAAUUUUUGUUCCAUGUGUACUGUCCAAUGGAGCUGUAGUAUAUUCUGGUUUAAACGAUACUAAGAAUUAGGCGUUACAUAGUAUAUAUUUCAGUAAUAGUUAUAGGAUGUAGUAUGUUUCUAGUUUGUUGGUUUUUGAAUUCUGAUGAACAUUUGAUUUUUUGUAGAUACUGUAUGCACUGAUUGAUUCUCUCAAUGUAUCAAAGAUUCGAAAUACACAGGGUAAGUUUUUGAAGGAACCAAUAACCACAAAAUCAGAACAUGAAAUCUUUUGGAAAAAAUCAAUAAAAUUUUUUGAAAACAUGUAUUUUUAUGAUGAAAAAAAAAAAAAAUGUGGAGGUACCUACCAUAAAAAAUUUUAUUUUGAUCUUUGAAAGCUUUCGUUUACUUUAAGAGGAGGUUGUUGACUGAAAAAAGUUUCAAGUAUAUCUUGACUGGUGCUUUCAAUCAAGAUUGCCUUGAAAAUUUUUUCAGUUAUAUCCGAGGGCAUGGUGUAAGGAACACUAAUCCAAAUAUUGGCCAGUUUAUGUCCUCUUUCAAAUGCCUUACUUUGAAUAACUUCAUGUCCUCCCAUUCUGUAGGUUCCAACUGUGAAGAUAAUUUGGAUAAUCUAAAAUCAUUUGUUUUAUUAAAAUUUCCUUUACCUCAAAAUGUUGUGCUUGAAGAUUUAAAUAUAGUUAUUCCGAAAUUAAUAGUCCUUGAACAAAAAUCAAAAUUUAGUAGAUGUACAGUGCAUCCCAUUUUGGGUGAGACUGCCAGGUUUCUCGCUUGUUAUUUAAGAUAGAGCCUUGCGGUUUUCACGUUCCUGUCCUACUUUUUCGUGAAAC